Molecule: ribosomal RNA, 467 nt
Filed under: uncultured bacterium
Lineage: Bacteria
Description: partial 16S ribosomal RNA
Rfam family: Bacterial small subunit ribosomal RNA
Source: RNAcentral
GACGAACGCUGGCGGCGUGCUUAACACAUGCAAGUCGAACGGAAAGGCUCCAGCUUGCUGGCGUACUCGAGUGGCGAACGGGUGAGUAACACGUGGGUAAUCUGCCCUGCACUCUGGGAUAAGCCUGGGAAACUGGGUCUAAUACUGGAUAUGACCUUUCUCCUUAUGGGGUUUGGUGGAAAGUUUUUCGGUGUAGGAUGAGCCCGCGGCCUAUCAGCUUGUUGGUGGGGUGAUGGCCUACCAAGGCGACGACGGGUAGCCGGCCUGAGAGGGUGAUCGGCCACAUUGGGACUGAGAUACGGCCCAGACUCCUACGGGAGGCAGCAGUGGGGAAUAUUGCACAAUGGGCGGAAGCCUGAUGCAGCGACGCCGCGUGAGGGAUGACGGCCUUCGGGUUGUAAACCUCUUUCAGCAGGGGCGAAGCGUAAGUGACGGUACCUGCAGAAGAAGCACCGGCUAACUAUGUG